Molecule: ribosomal RNA, 445 nt
Filed under: uncultured bacterium
Lineage: Bacteria
Description: partial 16S ribosomal RNA
Rfam family: Bacterial small subunit ribosomal RNA
Source: RNAcentral
GUGAGGAAUAUUGGUCAAUGGGCGGGAGCCUGAACCAGCCAAGUCGCGUGAAGGAAGAAGGAUCUAUGGUUCGUAAACUUCUUUUGCAGGGGAAUAAAGUGCAGGACGUGUCCUGUUUUGUAUGUACCCUGAGAAUAAGGAUCGGCUAACUCCGUGCCAGCAGCCGCGGUAAUACGGAGGAUCCGAGCGUUAUCCGGAUUUAUUGGGUUUAAAGGGUGCGUAGGUGGUUUGAUAAGUCAGCGGUGAAAGUUUGCAGCUUAACUGUAAAAAUGCCGUUGAAACUGUCGGGCUUGAGUGUAAAUGAGGUAGGCGGAAUGCGUGGUGUAGCGGUGAAAUGCAUAGAUAUCACGCAGAACUCCGAUUGCGAAGGCAGCUUACUAAGCUACAACUGACACUGAAGCACGAAAGCGUGGGGAUCAAACAGGAUUAGAAACCCCUGUAGUCC